UACGUAGGGUGCGAGCGUUAAUCGGAAUUACUGGGCGUAAAGCGUGCGCAGGCGGUUCGCUGUGUCCGAUGUGAAAGCCCCGGGCUUAACCUGGGAAUGGCAUUGGAACUGGCGGGCUUGAGUGCGGCAGAGGGGGGUGGAAUUCCGCGUGUAGCAGUGAAAUGCGUAGAGAUGCGGAGGAACACCGAUGGCGAAGGCAGCCCCCUGGGUCGACACUGACGCUCAGGCACGAAAGCGUGGGGAGCAAACAGG
Molecule: ribosomal RNA, 252 nt
Filed under: uncultured bacterium
Lineage: Bacteria
Description: partial 16S ribosomal RNA
Rfam family: Bacterial small subunit ribosomal RNA
Source: RNAcentral